UGGAGAAUCUUAUGUAGAAGACUUUAUCUAGAAAAACAUUGAUUCUGAUUGAAAGGGGUAACAAGGACUUGCCUAAUCCUAUGAGUUCAGAUUAAAAAAAUAUCAAAAUCAAAAAAGAAAAAGAAAAAGAAAAAGAAAAGGAGAGGCCAAAGCGAAAACCCACAAAGGGCGUUUUGUGACCAAAGGUGGAUUUGAGUUGAAAACCCG
This 207-nucleotide long non-coding RNA is filed under the name Gossypium raimondii (Peruvian cotton). Its description in RNAcentral is "long non-coding RNA (GRAI_LNC002012)". Lineage: Eukaryota; Viridiplantae; Streptophyta; Magnoliopsida; Malvales; Malvaceae. The record is from RNAcentral.